UACAGAGGUCUCGAGCGUUAAUCGGAGUCACUGGGCUUAAAGGGUGCGUAGGCGGCGCCGCAAGUGCCUUGUGAAAUCCCACGGCUCAACCGUGGAAUUGCUCGGCAGACUGCGGCGCUUGAGGUCGGUAGGGGUCGCUGGAACUCUAGGUGGAGCGGUGAAAUGCGUAGAUAUCUAGAGGAACGCCAAAGGUGAAGACAGGCGACUGGGCCGAUUCUGACGCUGAGGCACGAAAGCGUGGGGAGCGAACGGG
RNAcentral lists this ribosomal RNA (253 nucleotides) under uncultured bacterium. RNAcentral's name for it is "partial 16S ribosomal RNA". It matches the Rfam family "Bacterial small subunit ribosomal RNA", at positions 524 to 776 of the family's 1533-position model. The record is from RNAcentral.